RNAcentral lists this long non-coding RNA (610 nucleotides) under Mus pahari (shrew mouse). RNAcentral describes it as "lncRNA (MGP_PahariEiJ_G0032971.1)". The record is from RNAcentral. Lineage: Eukaryota; Metazoa; Chordata; Mammalia; Rodentia; Muridae.
AGGAAGAGAGGCAAGGAGAGAAGUCGAAGAAGGAACAAAGCUUGGAGUGGAAAGUCUGAUGGAGAAUUCAAGUGUCAGGGUCAUCUGACCGGUGUCCUGACCCCACUGGCUCACAGCGUGAGCUCGAAAGCCAUACUAUACUGCUGAAGGAAGUCAGGGCAGGAUCCUGGAGUCAGGAGCUGAUGCAGAGACCAUGGAAGAUUGCUGCCUACUGGCUUGCUUCCAGUGGCUUGUUCAGCCUGCUUUCCUAAAGAUCCCUGGAUCACCAGCUAAGGGUGGCCACACCCACAACGACCUGGUCCCCUCCUACAUCAAUCACUAGUUAAGAAAAUGUCCUUCAGGCUUCCCCUUUCCCAUUGGAGGCAUUUUCUCAGUUGAGAUUCCCUCUUUCAGAUUACUCUAUCUUGUGUCAAGUUGACAUAGGACUAGCCAGCACAAGGGCAAAGAGUACCAUCUAGUAUCUUAGGUGGUAUCCAGCUUCCUUGAAAAUAUAACUGUACCAACAUACCUGGACAGGGGUCCUAAUAUAGGCAAGCAAGCAAGGGUCUUCAAGUGUUGGAAGGAAGAAUUCUUUGGUGUUUAUGUCUCAGUGUGAGUGUGUGUGUGUGUG